Long non-coding RNA from Gasterosteus aculeatus aculeatus (three-spined stickleback), 370 nucleotides. The record is from Ensembl. Lineage: Eukaryota; Metazoa; Chordata; Actinopteri; Perciformes; Gasterosteidae.
GGGGGCGCGCGCAUUCACAGCACGCGGGCGGGCUGCUGUCAUUUCACCGCAGUUGUGUUUGGAUCUGGAGAGGAAAUUAAGGAAAUACCAACGAAGAAAAAAAAAAGAAAAAAAGGAAGAAGAAGAAGGUCGCCGCAUUAUUAAAAAAAUAAAAAUGGAGCAUUCGUCCAGCAACCACCGGUUUCGGUCCACAAUCUUCAACCACGAUGAUGAGCUUGUGUGUGCGGAGCCGGCGUGUGCACCGUGAACUUGUAGUGGAGACCAUAUUGUCACAACAAACUCAUCAUUCCCAGUGAAGAGAAAAGCUUUUCCUUCAUAAUUUCACACAUAUGUGCGCAUCUAGACAGGUACGCGCGUGUGUGUGUGUGUG